This 465-nucleotide ribosomal RNA is filed under the name uncultured bacterium. Its description in RNAcentral is "bacterial SSU rRNA". It matches the Rfam family "Bacterial small subunit ribosomal RNA", at positions 331 to 793 of the family's 1533-position model. The record is from RNAcentral.
CCAGACUCCUACGGGAGGCAGCAGUGAGGAAUAUUGGUCAAUGGGCGCGAGCCUGAACCAGCCAAGUCGCGUGAGGGAAGACGGCCCUACGGGUUGUAAACCUCUUUUGCCGGGGAGCAACGGGCGCCACGUGUGGCGCCACUGAGAGUACCCGGAGAAAAAGCAUCGGCUAACUCCGUGCCAGCAGCCGCGGUAAUACGGAGGAUGCGAGCGUUAUCCGGAUUUAUUGGGUUUAAAGGGUGCGUAGGCGGAGCUUAAAGUGAGGGGUAAAUUGGGGGGGCCCACCCCCGCCCCGCCAUUGAAACUGGCGCUCUUGAGUGGAAGAGAAGUAUGCGGAAUGCGUGGUGUAGCGGUGAAAUGCAUAGAUAUCACGCAGAACCCCGAUUGCGAAGGCAGCAUGCCGGCUUCCUACUGACGCUGAAGCACGAAAGCGUGGGGAUCGAACAGGAUUAGAUACCCUAGUAC